GACGAACGCUGGCGGCGUGCCUAAUACAUGCAAGUAGAACGCACAGUUUAUACCGUAGCUUGCUACACCAUAGACUGUGAGUUGCGAACGGGUGAGUAACGCGUAGGUAACCUGCCUGGUAGCGGGGGAUAACUAUUGGAAACGAUAGCUAAUACCGCAUAAUAUUGAUUAUUGCAUGAUAAUUAAUUGAAAGGUGCAAUUGCACCACUACCAGAUGGACCUGCGUUGUAUUAGCUAGUAGGUGAGGUAACGGCUCACCUAGGCGACGAUACAUAGCCGACCUGAGAAGGUGAUCGGCCACACUGGGACUGAGACACGGCCCAGACUCCUACGGGAGGCAGCAGUAGGGAAUCGUCGGCAAUGGACGAAAGUCUGACCGAGCAACGCCGCGGGAGUGAAGAAGGGUUUCGGAUCGGAAAGCUCUGUUGUAAGAGAAGAACGGGUGUGAGAGUGGAAAGUUCACACUGUGACGGUAUCUUACCAGAAAGGGACGGCUAACUACGUG
This 505-nucleotide ribosomal RNA is filed under the name uncultured bacterium. Its description in RNAcentral is "partial 16S ribosomal RNA". It matches the Rfam family "Bacterial small subunit ribosomal RNA", at positions 28 to 507 of the family's 1533-position model. The record is from RNAcentral.